AAAUUGAAGAGUUUGAUCAUGGCUCAGAUUGAACGCUGGCGGCAGGCCUAACACAUGCAAGUCGAGCGGAAACGAGUUAACUGAACCUUCGGGGAACGUUAACGGCGUCGAGCGGCGGACGGGUGAGUAAUGCCUAGGAAAUUGCCCUGAUGUGGGGGAUAACCAUUGGAAACGAUGGCUAAUACCGCAUAAUGCCUUCGGGCCAAAGAGGGGGACCUUCGGGCCUCUCGCGUCAGGAUAUGCCUAGGUGGGAUUAGCUAGUUGGUGAGGUAAGGGCUCACCAAGGCGACGAUCCCUAGCUGGUCUGAGAGGAUGAUCAGCCACACUGGAACUGAGACACGGUCCAGACUCCUACGGGAGGCAGCAGUGGGGAAUAUUGCACAAUGGGCGCAAGCCUGAUGCAGCCAUGCCGCGUGUAUGAAGAAGGCCUUCGGGUUGUAAAGUACUUUCAGCAGUGAGGAAGGUGGUGUAGUAGUUAAUAACUGCAUCAUUUGACGUUAGCUGCAGAAGAAGCACCGGCUAACUCCGUGCCAGCAGCCGCGGUAAUACGGAGGGUGCGAGCGUUAAUCGGAAUUACUGGGCGUAAAGCGCAUGCAGGUGGUUUGUUAAGUCAGAUGUGAAAGCCCGGGGCUCAACCUCGGAAUUGCAUUUGAAACUGGCAGACUAGAGUACUGUAGAGGGGGGUAGAAUUUCAGGUGUAGCGGUGAAAUGCGUAGAGAUCUGAAGGAAUACCGGUGGCGAAGGCGGCCCCCUGGACAGAUACUGACACUCAGAUGCGAAAGCGUGGGGAGCAAACAGGAUUAGAUACCCUGGUAGUCCACGCCGUAAACGAUGUCUACUUGGAGGUUGUGGCCUUGAGCCGUGGCUUUCGGAGCUAACGCGUUAAGUAGACCGCCUGGGGAGUACGGUCGCAAGAUUAAAACUCAAAUGAAUUGACGGGGGCCCGCACAAGCGGUGGAGCAUGUGGUUUAAUUCGAUGCAACGCGAAGAACCUUACCUACUCUUGACAUCCAGAGAAGCCAGUAGAGAUACAGGUGUGCCUUCGGGAACUCUGAGACAGGUGCUGCAUGGCUGUCGUCAGCUCGUGUUGUGAAAUGUUGGGUUAAGUCCCGCAACGAGCGCAACCCUUAUCCUUGUUUGCCAGCGAGUAAUGUCGGGAACUCCAGGGAGACUGCCGGUGAUAAACCGGAGGAAGGUGGGGACGACGUCAAGUCAUCAUGGCCCUUACGAGUAGGGCUACACACGUGCUACAAUGGCGCAUACAGAGGGCAGCAAGCUAGCGAUAGUGAGCGAAUCCCAAAAAGUGCGUCGUAGUCCGGAUUGGAGUCUGCAACUCGACUCCAUGAAGUCGGAAUCGCUAGUAAUCGUGGAUCAGAAUGCCACGGUGAAUACGUUCCCGGGCCUUGUACACACCGCCCGUCACACCAUGGGAGUGGGCUGCAAAAGAAGUAGGUAGUUUAACCUUCGGGAGAACGCUUACCACUUUGUGGUUCAUGACUGGGGUGAAGUCGUAACAAGGUAGCCCUAGGGGAACCUGGGGCUGGAUCACCUCCUUA
This 1556-nucleotide ribosomal RNA is filed under the name Vibrio europaeus. Its description in RNAcentral is "bacterial SSU rRNA". It matches the Rfam family "Bacterial small subunit ribosomal RNA". Lineage: Bacteria; Pseudomonadati; Pseudomonadota; Gammaproteobacteria; Vibrionales; Vibrionaceae. The record is from RNAcentral.